GCAUCUUGGGGGUCGUCUUGAUUGGUUUGUUUCCGGUGGUUGGCUCUCUGCUUGCGCAACAACUUCCACCUGGCAUACCUCUUCAGUUACACGCCAAGGUUUUUAUUGCCUUGGGUGCGUUGUGGUUUACUGUGUUGUAUACCUAUGUGACGGUAUUGUUUGGAUUCAUCAAUUCCCAUUCAUCUUUCGUCAUGCAUGUGGCGUGGGAUGAACCUUGAAACGAUCUCUUUGGUCUACCUUGUUGACGUAUAGCGUUCAUAUUGUGGCCCAUUGAGCAUUGCUUGGUUUCGUGGAUACAGAAUAUGAUGUGGGCAUGGGGUCUUACAUGAUCCUUGUUUUGUCCUAGUUGAGCGUUCUUGUUUCUCUAAGAUGACUGCUAGCUCGAAUUGGCUCGUACCAUCGGGUGGGAUAUGUUGUCGAAGAGAGAUGCUAGCGUUCUUGCUUCUCGAAAACGACCACCUAGCUUGUUGGCUCAUACCAGCAGGUAGGUGAUGUCGAAUAGGGAUGCUACCUGGUUGAUCCUGCCAGUAGUCAUAUGCUUGUCUCAA
This 548-nucleotide unclassified non-coding RNA is filed under the name Streptoglossa liatroides. RNAcentral's name for it is "contains 3 external transcribed spacer, ETS". Lineage: Eukaryota; Viridiplantae; Streptophyta; Magnoliopsida; Asterales; Asteraceae. The record is from RNAcentral.